GAUGAACGCUGGCGGCGUGCCUAAUACAUGCAAGUCGAGCGAACAGAAGAGGAGCUUGCUCCUCUGACGUUAGCGGCGGACGGGUGAGUAACACGUGGAUAACCUACCUAUAAGACUGGGAUAACUUCGGGAAACCGGAGCUAAUACCGGAUAAUAUAUUGAACCGCAUGGUUCAAUAGUGAAAGACGGUUUUGCUGUCACUUAUAGAUGGAUCCGCGCCGCAUUAGCUAGUUGGUAAGGUAACGGCUUACCAAGGCAACGAUGCGUAGCCGACCUGAGAGGGUGAUCGGCCACACUGGAACUGAGACACGGUCCAGACUCCUACGGGAGGCAGCAGUAGGGAAUCUUCCGCAAUGGGCGAAAGCUUGACGGAGCAACGCCGCGUGAGUGAUGAAGGUCUUCGGAUCGUAAAACUCUGUUAUUAGGGAAGAACAAAUGUGUAAGUAACUAUGCACGUCUUGACGGUACCUAAUCAGAAAGCCACGGCUAACUACGUG
RNAcentral lists this ribosomal RNA (497 nucleotides) under uncultured bacterium. RNAcentral's name for it is "partial 16S ribosomal RNA". It matches the Rfam family "Bacterial small subunit ribosomal RNA", at positions 28 to 507 of the family's 1533-position model. The record is from RNAcentral.